RNAcentral lists this ribosomal RNA (445 nucleotides) under uncultured bacterium. Its description in RNAcentral is "SSU rRNA". It matches the Rfam family "Bacterial small subunit ribosomal RNA", at positions 26 to 518 of the family's 1533-position model. The record is from RNAcentral.
AGAACGAACGCUGGCGGCAGGCCUAAUACAUGCAAGUCGAACGCACUCUUCGGAGUGAGUGGCAGACGGGUGAGUAACGCGUGGGAACCUUCCCAAUGGUACGGAAUAACUCCGGGAAACCGGUGCUAAUACCGUAUAAGCCCCUCGGGGGAAAGAUUUAUCGCCAUUGGAUGGGCCCGCGUCGGAUUAGCUAGUUGGUAAGGUAAUGGCUUACCAAGGCUACGAUCAGUAGCUGGUCUGAGAGGAUGAUCAGCCACACUGGGACUGAGACACGGCCCAGACUCCUACGGGAGGCAGCAGUAGGGAAUCUUGCGCAAUGGGCGAAAGCCUGACGCAGCCAUGCCGCGUGAAUGAUGAAGGUCUUAGGAUUGUAAAAUUCUUUCAGCGGGGACGAUAAUGACGGUACCCGCAGAAGAAGCCCGGCUAACUUCGUGCCAGCAGCCGC